RNAcentral lists this unclassified non-coding RNA (307 nucleotides) under Fusariella sp. Its description in RNAcentral is "partial contains 5.8S ribosomal RNA, internal transcribed spacer 2, and large subunit ribosomal RNA". The stretch from base 1 to 71 matches the Rfam family "5.8S ribosomal RNA", at positions 84 to 154 of the family's 154-position model. Lineage: Eukaryota; Fungi; Ascomycota; Sordariomycetes; Hypocreales. The record is from RNAcentral.
GUGAGUCAUCGAAUCUUUGAACGCACAUUGCGCCCGCCAGUACUCUGGCGGGCAUGCCUGUCUGAGCGUCAUUUCAACCCUCGCCCCCGGCUUCUGUCGGGGACGGUGUUGGGGAUCGGCCUCCCGUCUUCCGGGUGGCCGGCCCCUAAAUUGAGUGGCGACCACGCCGUAACCUCCUCUGCGUAGUAGUUAAACACUCGCGGGCGGAGAGCGGUGCGGCCUGCCGUAAAACCCCCAACUCUUCUAAGGUUGACCUCAGAUCAGGUAGGAAUACCCGCUGAACUUAAGCAUAUCAAUAAGCGGAGGA